This 237-nucleotide ribosomal RNA is filed under the name uncultured Oligohymenophorea. RNAcentral's name for it is "partial small subunit ribosomal RNA". It matches the Rfam family "Eukaryotic small subunit ribosomal RNA", at positions 587 to 839 of the family's 1831-position model. Lineage: Eukaryota; Ciliophora; Oligohymenophorea. The record is from RNAcentral.
AGCUCCAAUAGCGUAUAUUAAAGUUGUUGCAGUUAAAAAGCUCGUAGUUGAAUUUCUGGCUGUUUCUCGUCUUGGCCUUGGUCGAGCUACCGGCGGUCAUCCGUCUGCAAACCAUGUUAGGCCUUUACUGGUUGGUUUGGGGAGUAGGCACUUUACUUUGAAAAAAUUAGAGUGUUUCAGGCAGGCUUUUGCCUGAAUACAUUAGCAUGGAAUAAUGGAAUAGGACUUAGUCCAUUU